RNAcentral lists this long non-coding RNA (252 nucleotides) under Lathyrus oleraceus (garden pea). RNAcentral's name for it is "Pisum sativum (pea) long non-coding RNA (PSAT_LNC030675)". The record is from RNAcentral. Lineage: Eukaryota; Viridiplantae; Streptophyta; Magnoliopsida; Fabales; Fabaceae.
UAAGUUAGCAAGAAUUAGGUCAAAAUAAUUAUGGAUCCAUGAUGUACGUAGCGAGACCUUUCCAUUGAUAUAAAGUUUGUGCAAUUUGGUGAACAUUUGUUCUUGGACCUAUGAACAUGUGAUGAACAUGAAGAACUUGUGAAAAAUUUCCAGAAUUCUGCUGUAGAUCUUAAUUUCGCGUUUUUGCUGGCUGAUUGUUGUUCGUGGUACUGUAGCGCGCUGGAUUUUGAACAGGAACAUACUUCGAUUCCG